AUUGAACGCUGGCGGCAUGCCUUACACAUGCAAGUCGAGCGGCAGCGCGGGGGCAACCCUGGCGGCGAGCGGCGAACGGGUGAGUAAUACAUCGGAACGUGUCCAGUAGCGGGGGAUAACCUGUCGAAAGAUAGGCUAAUACCGCGUACGACCUACGGGUGAAAGCGGGGGACCGCAAGGCCUCGUACUAUUGGAGCGGCCGAUGUCGGAUUAGCUAGUUGGCGGGGUAACGGCCCACCAAGGCGACGAUCCGUAGCUGGUCUGAGAGGACGACCAGCCACACUGGAACUGAGACACGGUCCAGACUCCUACGGGAGGCAGCAGUGGGGAAUUUUGGACAAUGGGCGCAAGCCUGAUCCAGCCAUGCCGCGUGAGUGAAGAAGGCCU
Molecule: ribosomal RNA, 387 nt
Filed under: uncultured bacterium
Lineage: Bacteria
Description: bacterial SSU rRNA
Rfam family: Bacterial small subunit ribosomal RNA
Source: RNAcentral